GGUGGCUCAGUGGUAGAGUGCUUGUCUUGCAUGCAUGAGGUCCUGGGUUCAAUUCCUCAGUACCA
Molecule: transfer RNA, 65 nt
Filed under: Dipodomys ordii (Ord's kangaroo rat)
Lineage: Eukaryota; Metazoa; Chordata; Mammalia; Rodentia; Heteromyidae
Rfam family: tRNA
About the family: Transfer RNA (tRNA) molecules are approximately 80 nucleotides in length. Their secondary structure includes four short double-helical elements and three loops (D, anti-codon, and T loops).
Source: Rfam by way of RNAcentral